AGGGACCUUGCCCCAAGGGCUUUCUGUCAGGGCUGAUGGGGGAAGCAAACUCAUCAGGAUGCUGAUGGUGGUGUCAAAUGCAGAAGAUGAGAGAGUAGGGUGAGGAUGAGGGGCAUAGCAGAUCUGCCAGAAGAGGAGUAUUAUUGGAGAUGGAAAAAUUCUAUAAAGAGAAAAUUCCACCUCCUCUACUGUUAGUGGUGAAGCUCACAUAAGAAAGAGCCAGCUGAGAGUCUGUCAAGGGGAGACCCAAAACCAGAGAAACUCCUUUUCUUCUUUGUCUCAAUCACAUCAUUUUCUAGGGACACCAAUUCAUCAAGAAGCAAGAGUUUUGCUGUCAGUUCCUCCUGCAUUCAUUCUUCCUGCUGCCUUGUGAAGAAGGUGCCUUGCUUCCCCUUUGCCUUCCACCAUGAUUGUAAGUUUAACGAGGACUCCCCAGCCAUGCAGAACUGUUCACAACCUUGAAUGGCAUGUUGGCAAUAAAAAGAAGACAAUAAAAAACUACCGAUUUUCUUGAUUUUGUGUUAUUUCUCUAUUUUAUUUUGUGUACAUUUUCUUAUUGGUAGCUGCACCUCCUUCUUACUCUAGUAGAAAUGAA
RNAcentral lists this long non-coding RNA (595 nucleotides) under Homo sapiens (human). RNAcentral's name for it is "HSALNT0317056". Lineage: Eukaryota; Metazoa; Chordata; Mammalia; Primates; Hominidae. The record is from RNAcentral.